This 688-nucleotide ribosomal RNA is filed under the name uncultured Actinobacillus sp. Its description in RNAcentral is "bacterial SSU rRNA". It matches the Rfam family "Bacterial small subunit ribosomal RNA", at positions 94 to 778 of the family's 1533-position model. The record is from RNAcentral. Lineage: Bacteria; Pseudomonadati; Pseudomonadota; Gammaproteobacteria; Pasteurellales; Pasteurellaceae.
AGUGGCGGACGGGUGAGUAAUGCUUGGGAAUCUGGCUUAUGGAGGGGGAUAACUACGGGAAACUGUAGCUAAUACCGCGUAGAAUCGAGAGAUGAAAGUGUGGGACCGCAAGGCCACAUGCCAUAAGAUGAGCCCAAGUGGGAUUAGGUAGUUGGUGGGGUAAAGGCCUACCAAGCCGACGAUCUCUAGCUGGUCUGAGAGGAUGACCAGCCACACUGGAACUGAGACACGGUCCAGACUCCUACGGGAGGCAGCAGUGGGGAAUAUUGCGCAAUGGGGGGAACCCUGACGCAGCCAUGCCGCGUGAAUGAAGAAGGCCUUCGGGUUGUAAAGUUCUUUCGGUGAUGAGGAAGGGUGGUGUUUUAAUAGAGCACUACAUUGACGUUAGUCACAGAAGAAGCACCGGCUAACUCCGUGCCAGCAGCCGCGGUAAUACGGAGGGUGCGAGCGUUAAUCGGAAUAGCUGGGCGUAAAGGGCACGCAGGCGGUGACUUAAGUGAGAUGUGAAAUCCCCGAGCUUAACUUGGGAACUGCAUUUCAGACUGGGUUGCUAGAGUAUUUUAGGGAGGGGUAGAAUUCCACGUGUAGCGGUGAAAUGCGUAGAGAUGUGGAGGAAUACCGAAGGCGAAGGCAGCCCCUUGGGAAUAUACUGACGCUCAUGUGCGAAAGCGUGGGGAGCAAACAGGAU